GUUAACGACCAUGUAAGCCUCCAGUGGCUAUCAUAUAAGCAACCAAGGACUCGAACCUGAGACCACAGAGUGAGCAAAUCUCUUAGUUCCAAGUCUUUAUUAUUUGACCACCACCUAGAUUGUUAUAUUACAUCUCCUUU
This is a long non-coding RNA of Populus euphratica (Euphrates poplar), 140 nucleotides long. RefSeq lists it as uncharacterized. NCBI's taxonomy places the organism in Eukaryota, Viridiplantae, Streptophyta, Magnoliopsida, Malpighiales, Salicaceae. The transcript has 3 exons. The record is from RefSeq and is a predicted model, not a curated record.